UCCCUGGUGGUCCAGUGGAUAAGAAUCUGUCUGCCAGUACAGGGAGACACUGGUUCAAUCCCCGGCCUGGGGAG
RNAcentral lists this transfer RNA (74 nucleotides) under Haemonchus contortus (barber pole worm). RNAcentral's name for it is "tRNA, Pseudo". The record is from RNAcentral. Lineage: Eukaryota; Metazoa; Nematoda; Chromadorea; Rhabditida; Trichostrongylidae.